AGUGAACGCUGGCGGUAGGCCUAACACAUGCAAGUCGAACGGCAGCACAGUAAGAGCUUGCUCUUACGGGUGGCGAGUGGCGGACGGGUGAGGAAUACAUCGGAAUCUACUUUUUCGUGGGGGAUAACGUAGGGAAACUUACGCUAAUACCGCAUACGACCUACGGGUGAAAGCAGGGGAUCUUCGGACCUUGCGCGAUUGAAUGAGCCGAUGUCGGAUUAGCUAGUUGGCGGGGUAAAGGCCCACCAAGGCGACGAUCCGUAGCUGGUCUGAGAGGAUGAUCAGCCGCACUGGAACUGAGACACGGUCCAGACUCCUACGGGAGGCAGCAGUGGGGAAUAUUGGACAAUGGGCGCAAGCCUGAUCCAGCCAUACCGCGUGUGUGAAGAGGGCCUUCGGGUUGUAAAGCCCUUUUGUUGGGAAAGAAAAGCAGCAGGUUAAUACCCCGCUGUUCUGACGGUACCCAAAGAAUAAGCACCGGCUAACUUCGUG
This 492-nucleotide ribosomal RNA is filed under the name uncultured bacterium. Its description in RNAcentral is "partial 16S ribosomal RNA". It matches the Rfam family "Bacterial small subunit ribosomal RNA", at positions 29 to 507 of the family's 1533-position model. The record is from RNAcentral.